AUAGUCAAGAUCAAGACGAAAGGCGAAGAUGAAACUUGGAUUGAGAUGGUGCUGGGCUCCGCUCGACGUCAAAAGAAGGAAAACCUGCAAAACAAAUUCCGUCGGAGGUGGCUCCGACGAAGAUCCUCUGAUACUCAAGUCAGUGUAUGCUUUAAGAGAAAGGAGAGGCAGAGUCUCUGAGUUCUAAGAUGGCUUAUUUAUGCAUAUCUAGAGGGGUCCCCGCUUACCUCUAUCUAUAGAGAGCAAAAUUAAUGAUGAGAGAAUAGAUGAUCAUGUCGAUCAUGUCCUGUUGUACGACAUGGCAUGGUGCCACGUGGGCAUCCUUAAAUGCCGGUGGCGAGUGUGCUCUUUAUUCGACGUGCACAUAUGGCAGACGCUGCAAGACGUGAGGCAUAAUAAAUGACCUUUGGGGCGCAUUUAAUGAGAUCGUAUUAUCCCAUCAUGGUGCGUAGCUAACUGAUCAAAAUAUAAUGUCUGAGUGACAUGAUCUUGAUGUGGCCUCUCCAAGUCAUAUGAUGAUCAUAUUUAAUUUGCAGUUAGUCGGUAGAGAUCCAUGUUGCCUGAGUCGGCAGAAUGAAAUUACUGAGAUGCUGUAUCUUUAUUUGGCGUAGUCAGUUGUUAACCGAUCAUUAAGUCGAUUGUAGGUCGAGCAGCUGUCGGAGGCACAUUAACUCUAGUCGGGAUAGUGCCGACCAGGGGCAUCUAUCUUUCAGUCGGCUGGAUGUCAGCAAUGGCAUCCAAUGUCUAUCCGGUUGGGAGAGAACUUUAUAUAAUCGAGUCGGAUUGAUUGUUGGUUAGUCGGUAUAGUUUUUUUAGUCGGCUCAUGGACGAGAAGAUAGGUAGUCGGCUAAGUGACGGGAAUCUAUCCCAAUACUUGCCCCCCCAACUCUCAAAUCUGACUUAGCAAUUAGUCGGGUGAGAGGAGCUCGUCCUCGAUCAAUUAUGAGUCACUUUAGCCAACUGUAACUCGGCCAUUGCUUCGUGUGGUGAACCGUCGUCAUGUCUUUUCAUGUAGUGGUACUGUUCUUUUGCAAGUCGUGCGGCAAUAAAUGCACAGAGCUCGAACUUCCAUAUAAAUGACAAGAGAUUAGCUGGCAGGGUAAUAAUGAGUACAUGUACCCGAGUCGUCUGCAUGUCAGUCACUUGUUGGCCCAAUCUAUGAUCACAUGGGUGAGCCUACUCAGCAAGAUCUGAACAGUGGUGCACUGAACAGAUGCUGGAAGGACCGACCGAGAUUGCCACCACAUAUCAUCAUCUCCAAGCUAGGCGUGGUACUCGACGUCGAUCCUGACUGUUGAGGGAACUUAUAUAUAGGGGUUGAUCUCCCUUCAUUUUUGGCUUCACCUUUUUUUUGCUCCAUUUCGAGUACACGCCAUCCCUUUUCUCUGUCGAGGGUCUUGCUGCCGGCGAGUCUUCUUCUUCGGCAUCGGUCUUUUGUCAUCUCCUUUCAUUUCUGGCUUCACCUUUUUUUUGCUCCAUUUCGAGUACACGCCGUCCCUUUUCUCUACCGAGGGACUUGCUACCGGCGAGUCUUUUUCUUCGGCAUCGAUCUUUUGUCAGCGUCAGACCCUGUCGUCGGUUCUCUCACUUUCUUAUAGGUUUUCUUCCUUGGUCCUCCUUCUCCUUCAUCUUUUCUUUUUCUAUCUUUUCAAUGUCUUCUUCUGGUAGAGAGUCCAGAGAUGAGACUCCGAUCGAUGAUCGGAGAUCUCGGGCUCCGACAACCCAAAGGGCGAUCGAGGAGAUUACUCAAGAUAAGCUCGAUGUGGCAUUUUCUUGAGAGGAUGAGUCAGACUCGAGUGAGUCAGAUGAACAGUCAGCUCUCGAGAAUACUUUUGGACCUCUCAUGGAGAGGUCCGACCUGAUUGAGUCGGUAGUCGUCCGACUAGGGGGAUAUUAUUACAUCCCUAGUCGGUAUCGAUUGAUGAUGCCUGACGAAGAAGGUUGGAUCGUUCAUCCUCCUGAUGGCUAUAUUGUCAUUUAUGAGGAGUUUCUUCGAUCGGGACUCCGAUUCUCUCUUCAACCCUUUUGUUGCCAAUAUCUUCAACUUGUAUGAGAUCAUUCCUGCUUAACUCACCCCCAAUUCCAUUCAUAUUCUUUCUUAUUCUGUUGUCCUUUGUCAUCGCCUCUGCAUCAAAUCCCGAGUCUCUUUAUUUCGGGCCAUCUUUAUUCUGAAGAAACAUCCCUAAGAAUGGGGCUGGUGGUUCUUUUAUCCUCAACCUCGACAAUAAAUCUUUAAGAAACUCCCUUCUUCUAUCCAUGGGUGGAAGGGUAAAUUUUUCUAUAUUGCCGCUGACCAUCCAUGGAGCUUUGAUUGGACCUGGACCAUCCCAAACCUUUCCCCGAAUAGAAAUGACACUAUCCUGAAUGAGGUUCGGGAGGUGCACGAGAAGCUUUUUGAAGUUCAGGUCCCCACGCAUCAGGAGCUGCUCUAGGAGCAGUCCCUCUAUGAUGUCGGGAUUAGUCUGACUAGCCAUCUUGGUAGUUUUUGUGUUUUUUAUUUUAUUUGAUGGCUAACUGUCUUCUCCUUUUCACUGUAUUCAUGUAGGUAUGUGGGUCACAGUAGGAUCGCUGAAGGAGGCGGUCCGAAAGAAAAAGAAUAAGGCAACAUCUGGGCUUAGAGGCCCAUCUCAACCAUCGAAGAAGCUGAGGGAGAAGUCUCUAGUUUGGGUGCUGAGAAGCAUGUAGCCGCCGUCACCACCCCAAGUACCGAUGGUGCACUCAUCUUUGCCACCCUCUGUCGAGGCCGUGAUAGUCACAGCCUCUCCCUUGAUCGAGGAUGAUGUAGUGGUCAUCGAAGCUCCAAUGAAGAAGGCUGAAGUAGUUCAAGCUCUUCCGAUCCCAGUUGGGUCCGGAGGGAGUCAGGCAGCUAGUCGAAAAGCUGCCGACAAGGGUAAGGCAUAGAUCUCCCCCCGCUUUACCAUGAACUAUGAUCUGGAUCUGCCUUCUGGGGAGCCAACUAUAGCGAUCAGGAUGCGCUUUAAUGCCACCGAUCAGGCACUUCGAGACAGCCAACAUGUUAGAGAGUUGGCGAAGAUGAUGAUGCUUCCCACAGAUUGGGAAGUCAGAAAAGCAUGCCCGAUCUUGAAGAUUCAGUCGGACGCCUACAUGUCAUUGAUUGGGGUAAGUACUCAGACUUCUUUUAUUCAAUCUCUUUCUUUCUUAGCCUAGUAGGUGACUUAGCUUCUUUUUUGUCUUUUUUUUGUAUUAUAGAUGAUCCAUGACAUUACAGUUCUGUCAGAAGGAUUAAUCAAGUCCAUCCAAAUCAACCACAAGUUGGAGGACUAGGCCCAGACUACUCGUGCAUGGGACAAAGUCUCCGACGAGCUCCUCCAAGCUACCGAGGAGCGGGAAAGAAAGAGCAGAGAGAAGAUCUCUCUGCUAGAGGCCGAGUUGGCCAAUCUGAUGGCCUAGCAGGGAAGCAACAAAUAAGAAUUUGAGAAGCUGUAAGCCGAUUAUCAAGUGGAGAUGGAGUUGGCUGAGAGCGCCCUCAUCGAGGAGAAGGAGAAGGUACUGAAGGCAGAGAAGACUAUCGAGGAGGCCAAGAAUGCCACCAAGAAAGCCAAAAAGAUUGCUGUCGAACUCCAAGAAAAAUUGACAUCGAUAGAAACUCGAGCCCAAAAAGCUGCUUCUCAAGUAGUGGUCGAGUUUCGUGAGUCGAAAGAAUAUGAAGAUGAGCUUGCUGAUGUUGGGACGGAUGUGUUUCAACUUAGCUUCCAGGAGUGCAAGAAGCAAGUUCACCACCUCAUGCCCAAGGUGGACUUGAGCUACCUCCAGCUCGACAAGGAAUCAGACGAGUCGGGCGACGAGGAUGUAGAAGCCGAAGAGGAUCACCCCCAUCCGAGUUCCUGAACAUCUUUUGUACUCUUUUUUUUGUAUUUGUAAUAAACUUUUUGGAAAUGAAAUAAAAAUUUUCUUCAUAAGUUGUCCAACUUUUUUUUGUCAGCAUGCACUUCUCUUAAUUUUUAUUUUCUGGACAGACUUUCCACUAAUUUGACUAAGUAGCUAAGUCACUAGAAUGAUCCAUAAGAAGUAGCUAGCCGAGUAGGAUGUAACCUUCUCAUAAAAUUGAUCAAGUUAUGAAGUUGGUAGAAUAAUUCAUAAGAAGUAGCUAGCUGAGUAGGCUGUAGCCUUCCCACAAAAUUGAUCAAAUAACAAAGUCGGUUGAAUAAUUCUUAGGAAGUAGCUAGCCGAGUAGGCUGUAACCUUCCCACAAAAUUGAUCAAGUUACAAAGUCGGUAGAUCUUUGGCUAGUCGGUAUUGAGCCGACUUAGUGCAAUUUAUUUUCGUCGGAUCAUAUGACAAAUUGUACCUCUUAUGCUUGCAACCCUUGGGCUAUUGCGAGUAUGGUGGUAGUUGUCGGACUGCAUGGCUCCAGUAAUCGAGUUUUAGCCAAUUAAUGCAAUGAUUUUGCUUGGGUCUCAUAUUCAAUCUGGUGUCAUAGCUCUUGGCAGGCAUGCUUGUGAUUGAAAGACCCACCCAUUGUUAAGAAUGGGUCCACUCCCGACUUCGUUAGUAGGGUAUGAGCCGACUAGCGCUUCGUCGGGUAUAAUCCGAUGAGGGAGUGGUUGUAAUGCAGUUUGUUGAGAACUUGAGCACAUGACUUGUAAGAAGAAAGACCUUUUUAUUUGAUGAAGGUAUUCUUAUUAAUAAUACAUUCAUAGGUUUUUGAUGUUCCAAGUUCGAGGAAUCUCGAUGCCAUCGAGAUUUUCAAUUUUGUAUGCCCCUGAUCGUAGGAUUGCCGAGACUUUGUAGGGACUCUCCUAAUUUUGAGAUAAUUUUUUCUACUCAGUGGGCUUGAAAAUUUUCACUCUUCUCAGGACUAAGUCUUCUAUUCGGAAGAUCUUUGGCUUGACUCGGGAGUUGUAAUAUCUCGCUACUCUUUGUUGAUAGAAGAUUAUUCUUAGUCGAGCUUUUUUUUGAAUUUCUUCAAGUAAAUCCAAGUCUGCUUGUCUCUUGUUCGAGUUGGUAGAUUCGUCAUAGUACUCCACUCAAGUUGAAAAUAGGCCGAUUUCAACUGGAAUCAUGACUUUGAUUUCAAAUGCCAAUUUGAAUGGAGUUUCUCUGAUUGAGAUCGGAGGAGUUGUUUUAUAAGACCAUAGGACACUGUGAAGCUCGUCGACCCAACUUUCUUUAGCUUGAUCGAUUCUGGUUUUUAGGCCUUGGAGAAUCGUCCUGUUGGUCACCUCAGCUUCUCCAUUGGAUUAGGAAUGUCCCACCAAAGUGAGCUUAUGAUAAUAUGAUAUUUCACAUAGAAUUCUUUGAGUCUAGCAUUGUUGAAUUGUCGACUGUUAUCGAUGAUGAUUAUCCGGGGCAGACCAAAUCGAUAGAUGAUGGAUUUCUAAAGAAAGCUGGUAGUCUUUUGUUCUGUUAUCUGUGCCAAUAGUUCAACUUUUAUCCACUUAGUAAAGUAGUCAAUGGCCAUAAUGAGAAAUUUUAUUUAUCCACUGGCAAGUGAAAAUAGAUCGAGUAGGUCCACACCCCAUUGAUAAAAUGGCUAGGAUGCCAAGAUGGCCGUAAGAUGGCUAGAUAGGAGCCUUUGAAUAUUGACGAACCUUUGACAUUGGUCGCACUUCUGUACCAAAUCAUAUGUAUCUUUCUGCAUGGUUGGCCAGUAAUAUCCUUAUCAGAGAAUUUUGUAGGACAGCAACUUGCCCCCCAAAUGACUGCUACAAAUACCUUCGUGCACCUCCCGAAGGGUGUAGUCGGCCUCGAAAAGUCGGAAACACUUGAGUAGGGGUAGAGAUGCUAACUUUUUGUAAAGUUAAUUAUCAAUGAUCACGUAUCGAGUUACCAACCUUUUUACUUGGCGUGCCUCGAUAGGAUCAAUCGGCAAGGCCCCGCCAGGCAAGAAAUUGAUGAACAGGUCAAUCCAACUCAGCUCUUGCCCAACUUCAAUCUGGUGGAUCUCUUCGUCUGAGUCAAUGCCUGGGCUCUCGAGAUGCUUAAUGAAUAUUUUCCAAGAUCUACGCAAUCAGAGGUGGCAAGACAGGAUAGAGAGUUGGCUCGGGCAUUCUCAGAGUGAGGAAUAUGAGAAUUUUCAAAAUAAUUGAAAUACGAUUGUAGAGACUUAAGCUUUUGUAAACAUCUAGAGAGAAUAAGAUCUCGAGCUGUAUAUUCUCUUCAGGAUUGUCUGAUGAUGAGUUACGAAUCGGUGAAUACCCAUAGGUGCUUGACAUCGAGAUCUUGAGCAAUCUUGAGUCGGACUAUUAAGGUCUCAUACUCUGCUUGGUUAUUUGAAGCCUUAACAAUGAAUCAAAGAGCAUACUCAGUCACCAUUCUAUCAAUAUUGGUUAAGAUCAGGCCCGCACUGCACCCUUGAGCAUUUGAAACUCCAUCAACAUGCAAAAUCUAGGCGGACUCUUGAGUGCUCUCUGUGGAGUUGCCUUCAACUUGAUCAUUGUUUGUCAGAGUAUAUUCAAUGAUGAAGUCGGCAAGAAUCUGAUAUUUCAUUGACAUUCUUGGGACAAAAGAAAAGUCAAACUCGGUGAGCUCGACCGUCCACUUUGCUAUUCUCUCCGAGGUAUCCGAUCUAUGAAGUAUAGGCCUUACGAAGAGAUCAAUAAGGAUUUUUACCGAAUGGGCCUGAAAGUAGGGCCAUAACUGCCAAAUAGUAGUCACAAUCGUAAAGACGACCUUCUCAAUCCUUGAAUAUCUCAUUUCAGCAUCAUGCAGCACCCGGCUUAUAUAGUAGAUGGACUUUGCACUUUGUCUUCUUCUCAAACCAGCAUCGAGCUGAUGGCUUCAAAAGUGGUCGCCAUGUACAUGAGUAACUCAUCACAGAUGCUGGGCUUUGCCAAAAGUGAAGGAGAGCUAAGGUAUUGCUUCAAUUCGUCAAAGGACUUUUGACACUCCUCCAUCCAGGUGAAAUCUUUUAUUUGUCUGAGGGUUCUAAAGAAAGGGAGGAAUCGUUCUGCAGACCUGGAGAUAAAUCGACUUAAGGAUGUAAUUCAACCUGCCAAUCUCUGAAUGUCCGUUCGAGAAUUAGGAGGUUGUAUGUCAAGAACCAUCUUGAUCUUCUCGGGAUUAGCCUCGAUGCCUCUUUUUGUCACUAUAAAAUUAAGAAACUUUUUCGAUAUGACACCAAAAAUGCACUUAGUCGGAUUUAGCUUCAUCCGAUGCUUUCUUAGGGCAUCGAAAGCCUCGGUUAGAUCGCUGAUGUGGAGGGUAGCUUUGGUAUUUUUCAUGAGUAUAUCAUCGAUGUAAAUCUCCAUAUUAUGCUCGAUUUAGAUUUUAAAGACUUUAUUGACUAGUCUCUGAUUUGUUUUUCUGGCGUUCUUGAUGCCAAAGGGCAUAACUUUGUAGUAGUAUAAACCUUUCAUAGUAAUAAACACCAUUUUCUCCUCAUCCUCGAAUUCCAUCUGAAUCUGAUUGAAGCUGGAGAAGGCAUCCAUAAAGUUGAGUAGAUGAUGUUCGACUGUCGCAUCAACUAGCUGAUCUAUUCAAGGGAGAGAAAAGUUGUCCUUGGGACAAGCUUUGUUCAAGUUGGUGUAGUCGAUGCAGCUGCACCAUUUGCUUUCUUGAUCAUAACCACAUUUGCGAGCCAAUCUGGGUAGGUUGCCUCGUGGAUGAAAUCGAUUGCCAACAGCUUGUCAACCUCUUCAUUGAGGGCCAUCUGUCAUUCUGGAGUAAAGCUUCUCUUCUUUUGUCUCAGUGGUUUGUGGUUAGGAUCAAUGCUUAGUCAGUGGACAAUAACUUUUGAAGGGAUGCUCAACCUGUCAGAGACAAACCAGACAAAGAUGUUGGUAUUUUUUCUCAGAAAAUUGAUUAACUUCUCUUACAAUUCCCUUCUUAACAAGGAUCCGAUUUGAAUAGUUUUAGUCGGAUCUCCACUGAGUAAAGAAAUUGAGAUGAGCUAUUCUAUAGGUUCUUUUCAUCUUUCAAUUUCUCUCUGAUCCAGCCCAUCAUCAAUGAGAAGAGUUUCAGCUAGCUUUUCUCCAUUGAUGGAGGUUAAAUAGCAUUAUCGGGCUAAUUAUUGGUCUCCUUGCAUCUCAUCGGGUCCAUUCCUUGUCAAAAAGCAUAUGAGCAGGUGAUAGGUUGAGAUGACUACUCGAAACGCAUUCAAUUCAGGCUGCCCCAAGAUGAUGUUGUAGGCAAACGGGAUCCAGACUAUAAGAAAGUUGAGGUGAACGGUUGAUUGCCGAGGUGGUUGCCUGGUCGUGAUGGAAAGUUUGAUCUCAUCCUCCACUUUGAUCGAGUCACCUGUAAAUCUGACUAGAGGAAUAUUAACGGGUCUGAGAAGUUUAGCAAAAAGCCAUUGCAUGUGAAAGAAACAAUCAUAGAAAUCACAUCCACGGAACUUUCAUUAUCAACAAGAUAUCUUUUUACAUCAUAAUUGGCAACUAUUAUUGACACGACUAUAGCAUCAUUGUGAGGAGUUUGGACUCCUCACAGAUCUGCUUCAGUAAAGAUGAUGUCAUUGUCGGCAUGCUGGCACUUGAAAGUGCUUCCACGGUCAUCUGCCCCCAGGGUCACGGGCCCACCGAGAUCAUAUUGAUCACAUCAGUCGUUGGUUGGAUGUGAGUCUGCUCUUCAGGUUUCGAAUAAGGUAGAUCGAAAGAUAGCUGUGCAGGACACUCCUGCACAUACUUGCCAAGAUAUCCCCACUUUAUCAGGUUCUCGAUCUCAUUCUUCAGCUGGUGGCACUCCUCCAUGUCAUGUCCAUAGUCGCGAUGGAAGCGGCUGUAGCACUUCCGAUCAUGAGAUUUUGUUGUCAUUGGCAGGGAUCGAUGAAGAAAGCUUUCUCUUUCUAUCUCCAUCAAAAUCUAUAAUUGAGAAGCAGUCAGAGGAGUGUAGGAGUCAUAUCUGCCCAUGAAGUUUGUGGGCUUCUGGCUUAGUCGGAGAGGUGGAGCCUCAUUUUUAGCUCGGAUUUGACUAGGCUCCUCGAAGCCUCCUCCCUUCCUUGCCUUCUUCUUCUAGCUUUUUUCCUCGAACUGGUGGUAGUUAGUUAUGGCUUUUUCGAUGCGGAUGUAUUUCUGUGCAUAUUCGAGGAGCUCGACCUAGGAUCGAGGAAGCAUCUUAUCCAAAGAGUAGGUGAACUUAGAGUUUCAGAGUUCUCGCUUCAUUGCUGCAAUGGUCGUUGCCUCAUCAAGGUCCUUGACCUCCAGGGUGGCGGUGUUGAAAUGUGUCACAAUUCUCACAAAGAUUCUCCAUUCUAUUGGCGAACAGAGAAAAGACUGUCAGUAGUUCUGGGCACUCUUUGGUUUGUGCCAAAGUGCACCACGAACAACUGCUCAAACUAUUUGAAAGAAUCGAUGCUUUCCAAUUGUAGCCCCGAGUACCAUGCCCGUAUGGUUUUCUGGAGUGUAAUCGGGAAAGAAAUACAGAGGAGGGUGUCAACUGCCCUUUGUAGAAGUAUGAGGGCUUUAUAGCUCUCAAGAUGAUCAAAUGGAUCCAUGGUGCCGUCGUAUGGCUCGAUUUGCAGCAUUUUGAACCGACUAAGAAUCGACUCGUCAAGGAUCCAUCUUGAGAAAGGUAGAUUCGUACUGACAUUGAAUUCAUUAAUUGGAUCACGAUGAUUAGUUUGGAGCUAUUCCAGAUGGCGAUCUAUCUCCUUCAAUUUUCGAUCGUAUUCGUCCAGCCAUUGUUGCAACAUAUCUGGAUGCCGCAAAUAGCCUGGAAUAGAACCUUCCUCAGAAAAAGAAGAUCCCAAGGGCAACUGCGGCCUCUUCCCCUUGUAAUGAGUUCAUCGAGGAGAAUGUGGGGACUGACGAUCAUUGGAGUCAGCACGCGAAGCACAAUGCGACUUCGAAUGUGGCGGCUGUUGGGCAAGCGAAGAACUCCCUCGAUGGGAAUGGUGCAUAGAAUGGCGGGUUAGAGAUCAUGGUUGGUGGCUGCAUCUAGAAGGUGCAUCAUGCGCUACGACCUCUCCCAGUUGUUAUUGUUGUUGGAGACCUUGGAUGGCCUCGGUCAGACUUUUCAUCUGCUGCACGAGGGUAGAAAACCCAGGAUCUACCAUCAUCGAUGGUCGUGAAGUACUUGGCUCUCUAAGGAUUGUCGGAGGUGCAUCACGUCGUGAUGAGUAUCGAACCAAACCAGCAGAGACAUUCUGCACCCUUGUCUUGGCCAUGGAGGUUCUUGGAGAGAGUUUUACCCAAUAGACCCCCUCUACCUGGCGUGCCAAACUGUUGCGGUCCUACUCCGAUAGGUAGUCGGUAGUAAGUAGUCGAGUAGAAGCUGACUAGGAGUUCCACCUGUCAAUUGGUGGUGGGACUUCUGAUGAGUGAGGUACCAUCACCGGAGAAGGUGCACCAAUCAAGGUCAAGACGAAGGGCAAGGAUGGAACUUGGAUUGAGAUGGUGCUGGGCUUUGCUCGACGCCAAAAGAAGAAAGAUCUGUAAAACAAGUCCCACUGAAGAUGGCUCCGACAAAGUUCCUCCGAUGCUCAAGUCAGUGUAUGCUUUAAGAAGAAGGAGAGGUAGAGUCUCUAGGUUCUAAGAUGACUUGUUUAUGCAUACCU
This 10456-nucleotide long non-coding RNA is filed under the name Elaeis guineensis (African oil palm). Its description in RNAcentral is "long non-coding RNA (EGUI_LNC052087)". The record is from RNAcentral. Lineage: Eukaryota; Viridiplantae; Streptophyta; Magnoliopsida; Arecales; Arecaceae.